RNAcentral lists this long non-coding RNA (1182 nucleotides) under Ictidomys tridecemlineatus (thirteen-lined ground squirrel). RNAcentral describes it as "lncRNA (ENSSTOG00000031580.1)". The record is from RNAcentral. Lineage: Eukaryota; Metazoa; Chordata; Mammalia; Rodentia; Sciuridae.
AACCACAAACAUACACCAUAAUCACCAAACACAAUAACCACACACCUUCGAUAAUCAUAAACACUCGCUAAUUCUCACCACGUUUUUUUCCGUCCCAACGACUCGAACCACUCCAACGACCCACGAGUAGUUCCAGCGCACCGCCGCUACCUCCCACCUCCGCUAGCCCGGCCACUCCCGGCCCCCUCAGGGCCUCCGCCCCGUCAGCCGCCCGCGGCCGGUCCAAACCGGACGGUCGGAGCCCCGCCCUCACCUCCCAAGGCGGGCACCCGCAGCUCCACAGACCCAGGACAGCCGGAGGCGCAGCCAGCGCGUGGUUUCUAAGAGACCGAGAGAAGCCCACGCGCAAGCAGGUCAGGGACAGGCUCAGGUGAGCCGAAGGAGCUCUCCGUGACCGCUACGUUCCAAGCAAAACUCCUCCCAGAAGGCCACGCGGUCCAACUCAACUUCCGUCCAGGACGCUGCCCGCGUUUCCAGUGCCCAGGAGGGAUUAGCCAGGUCCUCUGGGAAGGGGCAGUGCAGCGCGCCACGCUGUGGCGAAGUACCAGCGGUGAAACUGCUCUGGAUUGGGGGAGUUGCCCGCGCAGUCAUUUCGGAUGGGCCCACGCUGGGCCCUGAGAGGAAUCGACGUGGACACCUGCUCUGGACUACAUUUCCCAGAAGGCCUGGUGGCCUCUCGCUCUUCCGGCGAACUCGAGUCCAGCCUGGCGGGACCGUUAGAUCCGGCGGGACAAGCGCCUCAGGAAUGGUUUGAGUUGGAAUGGAAUGGAAGAAUUGAAAAUGGGAAGCUCCAAUGGGCUGUGGCUGAAGCUUCAUCUUCUCCAUCUUCCUCUGGUCCUUCCUGUAGUGACAUCUCUUCCUUGACCACCAAGGGACUGGAUCUGAUUCCUGGGACAUCCACAGGAUAACCAUGUCCCAUAUCUUUUCUUGUGAGCAGCACUUUCCAAUUCUAAGCCAGCUGUGAUCUCCUUAUUGGAACAAGGAAAAGAGUCCUGGAUGAUUGACAGAAAGCUGACCAGAGGUGAGAUGAUAAGACAGGAACAGGGCCACAAAGAGACAUUCCCUCUAGAGAUUUUAUCAGGAAGCUCCCCUCAGAGGGCAAAACCUCCCCUCUGCUAUGUGAGCUCUCAUGCUUUUUUUCUCUUAUACUUUCUCCCCUAUCCAUGAGAGUAAAUACCUUUC